RNAcentral lists this ribosomal RNA (497 nucleotides) under uncultured bacterium. Its description in RNAcentral is "partial 16S ribosomal RNA". It matches the Rfam family "Bacterial small subunit ribosomal RNA", at positions 28 to 507 of the family's 1533-position model. The record is from RNAcentral.
GAUGAACGCUGGCGGCGUGCCUAAUACAUGCCAGUCGAGCGAACAGACGAGGAGCUUGCUCCUCUGACGUUAGCGGCGGACGGGUGAGUAACACGUGGAUAACCUACCUAUAAGACUGGGAUAACUUCGGGAAACCGGAGCUAAUACCGGAUAAUAUAUUGAACCGCAUGGUUCAAUAGUGAAAGACGGUUUUGCUGUCACUUAUAGAUGGAUCCGCGCCGCAUUAGCUAGUUGGUAAGGUAACGGCUUACCAAGGCAACGAUGCGUAGCCGACCUGAGAGGGUGAUCGGCCACACUGGAACUGAGACACGGUCCAGACUCCUACGGGAGGCAGCAGUAGGGAAUCUUCCGCAAUGGGCGAAAGCCUGACGGAGCAACGCCGCGUGAGUGAUGAAGGUCUUCGGAUCGUAAAACUCUGUUAUUAGGGAAGAACAAAUGUGUAAGUAACUAUGUACGUCUUGACGGUACCUAAUCAGAAAGCCACGGCUAACUACGUG